This is a long non-coding RNA of Anguilla rostrata (American eel), 365 nucleotides long. RefSeq lists it as uncharacterized. The transcript is spliced from 3 exons. NCBI's taxonomy places the organism in Eukaryota, Metazoa, Chordata, Actinopteri, Anguilliformes, Anguillidae. The record is from RefSeq and is a predicted model, not a curated record.
CCAGCGUGAUCAGGUCUCCGAAGCUGGCAGCGAUGGGCGUGGCCACGUUGUCAGGGUUGAUGCCCGUCUUCUUGGAGCCGACGAUCACGCCCACCAUGAUGAUGCCUGCCGCCAGACAGGAAGUACAGCAGGAGUUUUCUGAGACGUUUCACAGCAGGAAGUGAACACACGAUGCCACAGAGCUGAAGAAAACAGCCCCCCCCUCCUCCUGGCCCCCCUCCUGCUGCCCUCCCCCUUAGUGAAGGAGUGGACAGUCGGGAAGCCAGGGUCAUCUCCAGAUUCCCCUUCAGACCCAGAAGAGCCGGCACCAGGAUGAAGAUCUCUGUGAUGUUCUUAAAGGCUUCCCAGUGCUGCCAGAAUAACAC